AUUGAACGCUGGCGGCAGGCCUAACACAUGCAAGUCGAGCGGAUGAAGGGAGCUUGCUCCUGGAUUCAGCGUCGGACGGGUGAGUAAUGCCUAGGAAUCUGCCUGGUAGGGGGGGAUAACGUCCGGAAACGGGCGCUAAUACCGCAUACGUCCUGAGGGAGAAAGUGGGGGAUCUUCGGACCUCACGCUAUCAGAUGAGCCUAGGUCGGAUUAGCUAGUUGGUGGGGUAAAGGCCUACCAAGGCGACGAUCCGUAACUGGUCUGAGAGGAUGAUCAGUCACACUGGAGCUGAGACACGGUCCAGACUCCUACGGGAGGCAGCAGUGGGGAAUAUGGGACAAUGGGCGAGAGCCUGAUCCAGCCAUGCCGAGUGUGUGAAGAAGGUCUUCGGAUUGUAAAGCACUUUAAGUUGGGAGGAAGGGCAGUAAGUUAAUACCUUGCUGUUUUGACGUUACCAACAGAAUAAGCACCGGCUAACUUCGUG
Molecule: ribosomal RNA, 484 nt
Filed under: uncultured bacterium
Lineage: Bacteria
Description: partial 16S ribosomal RNA
Rfam family: Bacterial small subunit ribosomal RNA
Source: RNAcentral